RNAcentral lists this ribosomal RNA (308 nucleotides) under uncultured eukaryote. RNAcentral's name for it is "partial 18S ribosomal RNA". It matches the Rfam family "Eukaryotic small subunit ribosomal RNA", at positions 1470 to 1796 of the family's 1831-position model. The record is from RNAcentral.
CCCUUAGAUGUUCUGGGCCGCACGCGUGCUACACUGAGUGGAUCAGCGGGUCAGGUUGCGCGAAAGCGUUUCCUAAUCUUUAAAUCCGCUCGUGAUGGGGAUUGACGGUUGCAAUUUUCUGUCAUGAACGAGGAAUACCUUGUAAGCGCGGGUCAUCAUCCCGCGCUGAAUACGUCCCUGCCCUUUGUACACACCGCCCGUCGCUCCUACCGAUGGAUCGUCCGGUGAAGCUCAUGGAGGGGCGGUUGUCUCAGCUGCCGUCGAAGUGAAAUGGACCUCACGAUCUAGAGGAAGGAGAAGUCGUAACA